Exaiptasia diaphana is the source of this 456-nucleotide long non-coding RNA. RefSeq lists it as uncharacterized. Lineage: Eukaryota; Metazoa; Cnidaria; Anthozoa; Actiniaria; Aiptasiidae. The transcript has 3 exons. The record is from RefSeq and is a predicted model, not a curated record.
UGUAAAUUUGAUGUAAGUGAUAUUUACAACAUUUUUACAUCAAAUUUACAUCGUUUUGGGGGAAUUCUAGAGCAACUCAAUUAAAAUCAUUCUUAUAAACAGCGAAACUUUUUGUUUCAGUUACUUUUUUAUUUUAAAUCAUGUAAAUAUAUGCAACAACUCGAUAGCGAGGCUUUAAAUUAUCUCAAAUUCAAGAUGGCGACCGCAAUGUCACGUCCGUUCGUCUGUAUUAGCAGCGAUUUUUACUCGAAUGUCGUUAGAAAAAGUGGAUUCUUAAAUUGAAUGAGAAAAUUUCCAACCCAAUGUGGAAAAUGCCAACGAAAAGACAGUGGGAUGUUUUAGCUUGAAUAGUAGAAGAAGACCAACAAAAGUUUCUGUGUUGUGCUACUUUGAUGUGCUAACAAGUCUAAACGGUGUGGAAAAUGUUUUCUCAAGUCAAGUAUGAAACACGGUCGG